CCUACGGGAGGCAGCAGUGAGGAAUAUUGGUCAAUGGACGAGAGCCUGAACCAGCCAAGUAGCGUGAAGGAUGACUGCCCUACGGGUUGUAAACUUCUUUUAUAAAGGAAUAAAACGAGGCACGUGUGCCUUUUUGCAUGUACUUUAUGAAUAAGGAUCGGCUAACUCCGUGCCAGCAGCCGCGGUAAUACGGAGGAUCCGAGCGUUAUCCGGAUUUAUUGGGUUUAAAGGGAGCGUAGAUGGGUUGUUAAGUCAGUUGUGAAAGUUUGCGGCUCAACCGUAAAAUUGCAAUUGAUACUGGCAGCCUUGAGUACAGUUGAGGUAGGCGGAAUUCGUGGUGUAGCGGUGAAAUGCUUAGAUAUCACGAAGAACCCCGAUUGCGAAGGCAGCUUACUAAACUGUGACUGACAUUGAUGCUCGAAAGUGUGGGUAUCAAACAGGAUUAGAUACCCGGGUAGUC
This 460-nucleotide ribosomal RNA is filed under the name uncultured bacterium. Its description in RNAcentral is "partial 16S ribosomal RNA". It matches the Rfam family "Bacterial small subunit ribosomal RNA", at positions 338 to 795 of the family's 1533-position model. The record is from RNAcentral.